Molecule: ribosomal RNA, 625 nt
Filed under: uncultured fungus
Lineage: Eukaryota; Fungi
Description: eukaryotic LSU rRNA
Rfam family: Eukaryotic large subunit ribosomal RNA
Source: RNAcentral
CACGCUGAACUUAAGCAUAGCAAUAAGCGGAGGAAAAGAAACCAACAGGGAUUGCCUCAGUAACGGCGAGUGAAGCGGCAAGAGCUCAAAUUUGAAAGCUGGGCCUUUCAGGUCCCGCAUUGUUAUUUGCAGAGGAUGCUUCGAGAGUGGUCUCCAUCUAAGUGCUCUGGGACGGGGCAUCAUAGAGGGUGAGAAUCCUGUAUGCGAUGGGGUGUCCACGACCGUGUGAAGCUCCUUCGACGAGUCGAGUAGUUUGGGAAUACAGCUCUAAAUGGGUGGUAAAUCACAUCUAAAGCUAAAUAUUGACCGGAGACCGAUAGCGAACAAGUAGAGUGAUCGAAAGAUGAAAAGCACUUUGAAAAGAGAGUUAAAAAGCACGUGAAAUUGUUGAAAGUGAAGCUCUAGCUAUCAGACUCGCCUCUAGGACUCAUCGUCCACUCGUGCAAGUGUACUUCCCUUGGGGCGCGCCAGCGUCGGUCUGGGCGGCCGGCAAAACGCUCUCGGAAUGUAACGCCUCUCGGGGCGUCUUAUAUCCGGCGGUGCCAUGCGGCCAGCUCAGACCGAUGAACGCGCUUCGGCUCGGACGCUGGCAUAAUGGGCGUAAACGACCCGUCUUGACACACGG